Molecule: ribosomal RNA, 292 nt
Filed under: uncultured bacterium
Lineage: Bacteria
Description: partial 16S ribosomal RNA
Rfam family: Bacterial small subunit ribosomal RNA
Source: RNAcentral
GUGUCAGCAGCCGCGGUAAGACAGAAAAAACAAGCAUUGCUCGGAAUUACUAAACGUAAAGAGCGCGUAGGCGGGAUGGCAAGUCGGUCAUGAAAUCCCUCGGCUCAACCGAGGAACGUCGAUCGAUACUGCUGUUCUUGAGGAUUGCAAAGGAGACUGGAAUUCCCGGUGUAACAGUGAAAUAUGUAGAGAUCGGGAGGAACACCGAUAGCGAAGGCGGAUCUCUGGGACGGUACUGACGCUGAGACGCGAAAGCGUGGGGAGCGAACAGGAUUAGAUACCCUCGUAGUCC